AAUAAGCAAGCUGUGUCUUAUCAGAAAACCAUAAAGGUCUUAGAUUUAAGCAGGGCACUGCCCAUAAAAGUUUAAAUUAAUCUUAGCUGUGGAAAUUCAUCUUUCAGUUCUUGUCCUUCAAUCUGGUAACUUAGCUACAUAUACAUUCUGGAAAAAUUUCUCUUCUUAAAUCUGAAACUGAAGCACACUCUUCAGUUAUCUUCUUCAUAAAUGAACCAAUCCUUAUAAUUAACUGGUUUUGUUUACUUCAGCUUUCAGCUAUGAGAUUGUGUUUGUCUCAUUUUUCAGUUCUCUGACAUUUCAUCCAUAUUCUGUGAUGCUGGCUAAAUCCAGCUGAUGUGCAUCAAAUCAAAUACUGAUAUACCCAUUAAAAAAAAAAAUAAUCAAUUAUUUCAGGCCUCUAACUUGAAUAAAGUAUGUCCAAGUCUAAAAUGAAAAUCUGAAACAAAUCUUUCAGCUUUCUUCUGAAGGCGUAUGUGAAGCAUAUCAGCACCUAUGUCACAUCUGCACCAGAUGAAGUAGCAAAAUUGUGAUGUUUCUCCAUCGCCCCAAGAAGACAGAAGGAAUAUAGUCAGGAAGCCUAGCUGGCCUUAGAGAAACAUCUAAGAUCUGCUUUGACAAUUUCUGCAUUUUAUAAGAAACAAUCAGUGAAGAAAGUUCAUGAAGAAUUAUUGGAGCCAAAACCAAAAACUUAGAUCACCCCCUGUCCUGGGUAAAGGACCUAAGGUUCUGAAGCUGAGGAUCACAUCUUCUUUUCCACUGGGUGGAACUCAAAGGCUUUUUUCAUUUCUCUGGUGCUGAUAAAUUACUGGCAGCUGCAACUCCAACAGGUGGUAGAUACUCAGAAAACACAGGUAAAAGACCAUUGAUUUCAAGUUUGUCAAUCAGCUCUUACUCUUAAAAAGACAUUUCUGCCACGUGUCCUGAAGAGAGGAGACAUCCCUAUUAUAAUGUUAAGUGCCAGAGCAGAGCUGGAAUUACCAUCAGCACUGGUUAGGUGUAGGCAAGCCAAAACCUUAGAGCGUGCUGACUGUAACUCCUAGUGCUGCCUUCCUCUGACCACACAGAAUGCAGGAAUCUGACACGAUUUCACCCAACAAUUUUAGAAGUCCUGCACAAGACAAAGGGACUGCAACUUUCAAUGCUGUGAUGUUCACUUAUAGAUUUAGAUGCAAGCUCUCAAGAAAUAUACUGAUUUUCCAGCUAUGGUAGUUGUAUUACAUUUGUCCUGAGAAUAUGUAUCAUUUCAAGGGUAAACACUACAGGUCUUUUCAUAUGUUGAUAUGUCUUAUGAAUGUCUCUGAACUCUACAUUUCAACAACCUUCUCCAAGGACAAAAGGAUAAUUAUUCUGUAUCUUGUGCUUUGAAAAUUUAAGCCUAAAUAAUUCAGUGAGAGGUUUGGUGUGUCUUUUCCCCUUAGAUUUAAUAAGGAUAGGAUUCAUUCUUCUUAUGCAUCUCACAGUGCAAUGGUCAAACCUGGCAACGUUUUUAGUCAGUGAUUGAGAGCAUGUCUAUGUGUUCCCCACAUAAUGAGGAGUGUUACACUGGACUAACAAGCACAGCUGACUGAAAGCUGGUUGCUUCAUGCUGAAGCAACAGAGGUAUUACCUCUGCAUUACAAGGCAACAGUGAUAAUAGCAAAUUUCUUUUUCAUAAUCUAGCUGCAUACAUAGCUGUAGAUAAGGUGUUUAAAGGGAAACAAAGAAGCAGACAAAGCUGCAGAGGUGGGCUUGAAGCUGUGAGCCCAUUAAUUUCCUUUCUAAGACAAACUUUCAGUUAAGAAGCCAGAGAAACCUUAAAUCAAGAACAUAACUUUUUAGCAUAUAUCUUAUUCUGUAUCCAAGUACAAUAUGUCAUAUGCAACAUAUAUUACAAUAGCAUACUACAGUAUAUGUCAGGUAAUAUUUAUUAUAUUAUAUUAUUUUACAUUUUCAAUUACAUGUAUAUUUUGUAUAGAUGUGCAUAUAAAAAUAAUUGUAUGUUUAAUUAUAAAAUCAACUUAGUACCCUAAUUUAAGGUAAAUUUUAAAGAUUAAUGGCACUCAGUAUAGCUGAACAAUCUCACCUCCCCUGCUCUUCAAAUACAUGUCUCUGGCAUAUAGAGGUACUAUAGCAAAACACUGAGGCAGUUUGACUUUACCAAGUGUAAAUCAAAAUGCUUUCAGAAUCCACUAGCAUAUUGCAAUCCAGCAGCUUUGAUUUCUUCUCACAAGAGUUAAGAAGAAAUUCACUUAAUCAGUACAGCUAGGCUCAGUUUACCAACUUCUUUUAAUACUUUAUCACCUUUGUAGAAAACUGCACCAUCAAAAUCAAUCAUCACAACUCCUGCUGGCAAUUGGGAUUAAGGAAAUUAAACUCAGGAGAUACACUGGUUGUACAUACAAAGCUGAUCCCCAUGGGGGAGAUUGCUUCACCUACUAGAGCCUGCCAGAAACAUCUCAUCACCACACUGGAAGAAACACAGUUCUAUAAAGUGGCAGUAUCAUAUAUGCUAAUAUAUCUUGUAGGCCUCUGUAAUUUUCAGUUAGAGGGCUCUGGCUUCAGCAUUGCUUUAUCAAUAAAGCCCAUACCAGGCAUAUUGCCUCAGCUAUGGUACCUGUCUGUUAAACAAAAAUGAACAAACAAAAAGAGAUCAUCAGUCAACUCCAGAUAACACUCUUACUAAAGUUCUCCAGAGUUUAAAUUCCAGAUGUCAAAAUUAGCAAGUACAGGAUCCCUUCAGCUCAUCACUGGAAGCACUUGUUACCAUAUUUGCUGACUUUCACUGUUCACUUAGCUGCGCAGGUUCCCCUAGGAUAACAAUGCCUGAAAUGGGUAAUAGUUUAGCAUUUGGGGAAUAGAAGAAGCAGUAUGAAUUUUCAGAAAGACUGAGUUCUCUUGAGUUCUAGUUUAGUUUAAUUAGCUUCAAGGCCUUUACAGAAUGAGACAGGUAGGUUUGUACACAGUUUAAGUAUCAUUCAUAUUUUCAAAUGCUUCAUGUCUUUGCAGUUGUCAGGGAAAGAUUUAUUGAAGGGCUUGGCUUUGGCCUCACUUUGCUUUUAUCAAAGGUAAUGGUUUCAAUGUUUUCAAUGCCACAGAAAAGGGAUGGACUAAUUAUAUUCUCAUAUAUGGCUUUACUAGAAGGAAUAAUUAUAAGACAAAUUCAGGAAAAAAAAGACCUGCAUGUAACAAAAAAACUAAAGAAUGUGUUGCACGCAUGCUGUAAAGGAAAAAGGUUUGUAAAGACAGCCAUAUCUAAAAUGCCAAAACUGUUAUAAAUAUAUCUGAUUAGACUUUACCAUGUCUGCAUGCGUAUUCAGGGGUUUUUAUUUGGAGUUCUUCUAAUAAUGAUAAAAUUUCACCAAGAAAUGCUUUUUCAGGACAAUGACUGUGUUCUGUUUACUAUACAGAAUCAUGCAUUCCUGCAGUAAUGGUUUUCAAUGACGAUUCUAAACCAGCACUCCUGAAAUUUUUUUUUAAAUAAAUGUUUAGAAGCUGCAAUUUAUAAACUCCAUAAAAUUAUCCAUUAUCUUUAUUUCCUGGGUUUCCUUAACUGUUCCUUGGGUGCUAUGACUAGACUUUGAUAUAUCAACAAACAUAAUUUAUGACAAAAUUUGUGUCUGGUUUAUGUGUUUACUUACUGGUUGAUAUGUUUACUUACAGGUUAAUAUGUUUACUUACUACAUUAUCUAGCAGUUGAUUUAGGAUUUCCCGUCUAAAUUACCCAGUCUAUUUAGAGGCCUUAUUUGAUAAUAUUUCCCAUUGCAUUGUCUUUUUCUUCCUGUCAGCUGAAUCAAUAAUUUAUUGGUAUACUUUUCAUUAAAUAAACACAAAAUAAGCACAGUUAGCCCAGGAAAACACAUGCAAGGGAAAUGGAAAUAGUUAUUAUAUGUUUACAUUACUUCCUUGUUAUAGAAUAGCCAGUAAACUAACCUCUCCAUCUCUAGUGCAGCCUUACAAAAGACUGAUUCAUAUUUAACAUUUAACAGCAGAUUCUUACCCAGAAGCAAAUACAGCUUCAGUGUAUAGGAAAGAAAAGAGAAAUUUCAUUGCUGCAAACUCAGGAACUCUGAGCCAGACCAGUGCAGCUACAGUUUGUGUUCUUUUGCAUUCUCUCCACUUUUUUAGUUUGAGGCAGAUUAACUGAUUACAAAGAAACUCUAAGCAAAGACUGAAGAGAGUUAGUAAUAGGGCGUGCAGAGAAAAUGCUUGUUUUAUUUAGCUGGUCCAGAAUUUCAACUUUAGGAGCAUUGACUUGAGCUGUUCAAAGUGUCAUUAAAUGACAAGCUCAGAAAACAUUGUUCCUGUGCUGCAGCAUUUUGUCAUUAGUCGAGGUGGACUCUCCACAUUUUCAAUUAAGAGUAGCAAAAUCUAUACAAAAAAAAAAAUUAGGAACAUAAAUAAAUGUAUACAUACAACAUUUAGAAAAAAAUUUAACUACUAUUAAACUUUAGCUGAUCUAAUUUGGCUUUUUCUAGUAUUAGUCGCUAUAUUUAAAUUCUUACUAAUUAUUGACAGCAGGGUUAAUGCUGUGGGACAGAAACAACUCGCUAGUUGGAUUUUUUUCUCAUUGUAUGUUAAGAAAGGACCUACCAUUAACCUAAAGUUAUCUUAAAAUUAAUUAAUUUUAAAGUUUAAAACACUCUUUUCCCUAUUUUUGUCAUUAGGAUAUAUUAUUUCAAGAGAACUGAUGGAAAUGCUACUCUAUACUACCAGAAAAAGAAUAAUCUAGACUUAUGAACCCCUUUAUCAUAUUUAUGUGGGUUUUACAAUUUCAGAGGGUGAUUCAGAACCUUAGGAGGAUGAAGAAUGUCUCAUAGCC
Long non-coding RNA from Taeniopygia guttata (zebra finch), 4801 nucleotides. NCBI's taxonomy places the organism in Eukaryota, Metazoa, Chordata, Aves, Passeriformes, Estrildidae. The record is from Ensembl.